Drosophila albomicans is the source of this 1225-nucleotide long non-coding RNA. RefSeq lists it as uncharacterized. The transcript is spliced from 2 exons. The record is from RefSeq and is a predicted model, not a curated record. Lineage: Eukaryota; Metazoa; Arthropoda; Insecta; Diptera; Drosophilidae.
AAAAACGACAACGAAAACGGAAUGAACGAACGACGCGACAAAAUGUAAAAUGCAAAAUGCACAAAUGAAACAAAAUGAACAAAAUAUUAAAUGCAAUUAAAAACGCAUAAUUUGAGCACAUUCAGUUUUGUUUCACUUGCUUAGCAAUAAAUUCAAAUUUCUUUUUUGAAAAAUAUAGGAAUAAUAAAAUAAUGUAGAAGCGGACAAGAGCAGAGCGCCCAGCGACAACGCACGAGGCAAAUUACACGAUUCUAAAGCUUCUGUCCCGAUCGAUGGCACUGCUCGCCGUCUGGCCAGGCCACCGGAACCGUUGCCGUUGCCGUCGUCGCCGUCGCCGCCGCCUUCGUCGUCAUCGUUUUGCCGGAGAGCGACCAAAAUACCUAAUACACACGACUAGUUGGACAUCAUCAUGUCUAUGUAUAUGCGCCCCUGUGUGUCGGUGUGUGUGUGUGCCUGUGGUUUAUUUCCCGGCGAGCGAAAAAGACCAACUGCUUGGGAUCAACAGCAAGUUGGGUGCCAGGUACACAUGAGUGCAAACGAGACAGCCCUAGUGCAUGUCCGCUCUUCUUGUUGCUGCUGCUGCUGCUGCUAGUUCGCUCUGAAUUUUGAUUUUAAUGUUGAUUUUUGUUGUUCAAUUCAAUAUUUUAAGGCGAGCAGCUGCUGCUGCCGCUGCCGCACGGCUGUUUUGCUAAUUGUUUGGCUGCACCAAGUGCCUCAAAUCAAAUCAUAAAUGAAAUUAAAAAAGACAAUCUGAUGAACUGACUGCAAUUAGUGUCUCUGGCUGGCGCUGCUGCUGCUGCUGUGACGCAUGUCAAAUCUGUAACUAGUCCCCCACACCACGUGCGUGUGUUGUUGGCGCUAUUUUAGAACGCGCUCCGCGCCUCGCGUCCCGCGAUUGCCCUUCCUGCAGCCUCUUGUGGUGUGUGUGGUAUGACGCCCCAGACGAACGUCGAAAAUUCGAGGGAAAAUCUUUAAUAAAAUACAUGCAUAAAUAAAUUAUAGGGCAGACAGCGAACGAGGGAUGAGAGCACAAUGGGUAAUAAAACAAAGCGAAGACAGUCGCGAAAAGAAAUCAACAAUAAACAAGCAAAGGAGCAGUCAUUUUACAACACGAAGACAUCCGAAUACCCUCAAGUAUACUUAAGUUAUAGUCCAUUAACAAGUAUGUAAAUUUGGGGCUGAUUUAAUAAAGUAUUUUGUGCCUCCAGCUUUAUGAACUCCAAAA